CGGCAAGUAACUUAAUUGGAAAAAGUUUACAGGUAACCAAACAACUAAUCCUGUUGAAGAUGUGUGUUAAUGUAGGUUCGAGUCCUACCUUGCCGG
RNAcentral lists this transfer RNA (96 nucleotides) under Clostridia bacterium. Its description in RNAcentral is "tRNA-OTHER". It matches the Rfam family "tRNA". From Rfam's summary of the family: Transfer RNA (tRNA) molecules are approximately 80 nucleotides in length. The record is from RNAcentral. Lineage: Bacteria; Bacillati; Bacillota; Clostridia.